This is a long non-coding RNA of Oryzias melastigma (Indian medaka), 284 nucleotides long. RefSeq lists it as uncharacterized. NCBI's taxonomy places the organism in Eukaryota, Metazoa, Chordata, Actinopteri, Beloniformes, Adrianichthyidae. The record is from RefSeq and is a predicted model, not a curated record. The transcript is spliced from 3 exons.
UGUGACGUUUGCACUUACCAGGACGUCCUGGAUUACCUCAACCUGACCACAGGUAACAAUGUUUUCAAAUUGACCCGUCCCGUUCUGGACCACAGACACGCCACCGUGGUGAAGCUGAACAUCAUCCUCUUUGCCAUUCUGGGGGUGGUUGAGAAAACCCAAACUUUUGUUCCCUUUGUCUGGUCCUCAACGAGGUGGAACAACGAACGCAUCUCAUGGAAUCCGGAUAAGUUUUGUGGAAUCUCUCAUGUUUCAGUUCCCAAAAGUCUUCUCUGGAAACCAGA